This 548-nucleotide long non-coding RNA is filed under the name Homo sapiens (human). RNAcentral describes it as "novel transcript". Lineage: Eukaryota; Metazoa; Chordata; Mammalia; Primates; Hominidae. The record is from RNAcentral.
UCGUAGAAAAGGAAAAGAAAGUUUUUAUUUUUUGCCUUGUUGUGCAUUCAUUCUUUCAAAAGCUGUUUAGAGGAAAAAACAUUUUCUAUCUUCUCAUAGUAGUAAGUAGCAACUCAGGUGCCUGAAGACCCCAUCAUAUUUUACUAAAACUCUCCACUCCAAAAGAGCAUCAGUUGUGUGUAGGUGAAUAGAAAGCUGGUGUGUAGGCCGGGCACGGUGGCUCACACCUGUAAUCCCAGCACUUUGGGAGUUAUGUUUUUGGAAUAUGACUUAAGAAAACAAACUUUCCAGGUAACACGUAGCCGGUUCCCAUCUUUCUAGCAUCUCUGCCUUUGGCUGAUGUGACGCCAUACGUUCCUGACAGUUAAUGUUGGCUCUGUAGGGAUCUGAUGCCAAGUACAGUCAUAGCUCAGCCAUGACACAGGGCCUUCCAGAUAGGCCAGAUUCAGUGCCCUUCCCAACAGAUGCCUCUCCAUCCCCCACACCUCCCGACUCCACCAAAAUGAAGUGGAAGCACGUCUUGAGUUGCCCAUUUCUUCUGUGUCUGG